UCUCUGUCCUCUAAUGAAAAAGAUUUAUACUUAUACUUGAACCCUACAAAAUUCUUGAUUAAAUGGGCAUUAUAUAUUCUUGAUUAUAUCUCUUGUUCCCCAAUUAUUUUCUUACUUUUCAGGCUCAUGGCUCACUUGAAAGUGUGAUGAUGAGAAUAUUGAUGAUUGUGAGAUCAAAUUACGAGUACGUGUUGAACAAAGUACAUUAUAGCACAAGAGCCCAGCAUGUGCGGUUGAAACUCGGUAUUGAUCAUCUUUUGUCUAUGAUGAGAUGACAGCAUAUCAUCCAAUACAAAAGUUAUCUCCCCAUAUAUGGUAUUUCUUUUUUUCUUUUUGCCUUUUUAUUUUGAGUCUAAUUAGUGGGUCGGAGGUUAAUAUUUUUACCUUUUAACUGAAGACACGUACCUUAACUUGAGAUAUGUCCAAACUGGCAUGAUAUAAAUGUUGCCUUUAUUUGACCAACAUAAAAUCUUGAGGCUUAUUAUGCAUAGAAUCUUUAAAAUAGUACAUAAACUUGUGUUGUCUUAUCUUGAGUAUUAUUAAGUCGGCUGCAUUAUGUGAAGGGAAAAGGCUAACUUCUUUUUCAAAGCAACUUAUGUAAUUUGUACUUCAUAUUUGGUAGGACGUAUUAUUCACCCAAGUCUCC
Molecule: non-coding RNA, 646 nt
Organism: Benincasa hispida (wax gourd)
Lineage: Eukaryota; Viridiplantae; Streptophyta; Magnoliopsida; Cucurbitales; Cucurbitaceae
Source: RefSeq, a predicted model, not a curated record